Molecule: ribosomal RNA, 548 nt
Filed under: uncultured bacterium
Lineage: Bacteria
Description: partial 16S ribosomal RNA
Rfam family: Bacterial small subunit ribosomal RNA
Source: RNAcentral
UGGGGAAUUUUGGACAAUGGGCGCAAGCCUGAUCCAGCCAUGCCGCGUGCAGGAAGAAGGCCUUCGGGUUGUAAACUGCUUUUGUCAGGGAAGAAAUCCUUUGGGUUAAUACCUCGAAGGGAUGACGGUACCUGAAGAAUAAGCACCGGCUAACUACGUGCCAGCAGCCGCGGUAAUACGUAGGGUGCGAGCGUUAAUCGGAAUUACUGGGCGUAAAGCGUGCGCAGGCGGCUUUGCAAGACAGAUGUGAAAUCCCCCGGGCUCAAACCUGGGAACUGCAUUUGUGACUGCAAGGCUAGAGUGCGGCAGAGGGAGAUGGAAUUCCGCGUGUAGCAGUGAAAUGCGUAGAUAUGCGGAGGAACACCGAUGGCGAAGGCAAUCUCCUGGGCCUGCACUGACGCUCAUGCACGAAAGCGUGGGGAGCAAACAGGAUUAGAUACCCUGGUAGUCCACGCCCUAAACGAUGUCAACUGGUUGUUGGACGGCUUGCUGUUCAGUAACGAAGCUAACGCGUGAAGUUGACCGCCUGGGGAGUANGGCCNCCAAGG